AUUCCAGCUCCAAUAGCGUAUAUUAAAGUUGUUGCAGUUAAAAAGCUCGUAGUUGGAUUUCUGUUCUUGGGGAGCGGUCCGCCGCAAGGUGAGCACUGCAGCUCUGGGGACAUCCUCUCGAAGGCGGGUGGUGCACUUAAUUGUGUGCUACUUGGAUUCGGGACCUUUACUUUGAAAAAAUUAGAGUGUUCAAAGCAGGCGUCGGCUUGAAUACAUUAGCAUGGAAUAAUGGAAUAGGACUUUGGUUCUAUUUUGUUGGUUUCUAGGACCGAAGUAAUGAUUAAUAGGGACAGUUGGGGGCAUUAGUAUUUAAUUGUCAGAGGUGAAAUUCUUGGAUUUAUGAAAGACUAACUACUGCGAAAGCAUUUGCCAAGGAUGUUUUCAUCA
This 387-nucleotide ribosomal RNA is filed under the name Choanoflagellata sp. RNAcentral's name for it is "partial small subunit ribosomal RNA". It matches the Rfam family "Eukaryotic small subunit ribosomal RNA", at positions 582 to 975 of the family's 1831-position model. Lineage: Eukaryota; Choanoflagellata. The record is from RNAcentral.